UCCUUUUUACCACAAAUAAUUUAUAAGAAAAAAGUAAAAGAAAAAAAAGAUCAAGAAGUGGAAAAGAGCGGAAGAAAGAAACAAGAAGAAGAAGAAGAAAAUGAAAAGAAAAAAAGUAGGAGGAAGAUAGUGUAGAUAUUAUAAAAAAACAUUGAAGAUAAGGAGGUAAAAUUGUUGGUCAAAUAUAAAUAGCUUUUAAGCUUAAAAAAAAGAAGGGAGG
Molecule: long non-coding RNA, 220 nt
Filed under: Solanum tuberosum (potato)
Lineage: Eukaryota; Viridiplantae; Streptophyta; Magnoliopsida; Solanales; Solanaceae
Description: long non-coding RNA (STUB_LNC003440)
Source: RNAcentral